ACUGUACGAAGAGAGUCAGAGUAACAAUGCAGGUGUAAACACGGCUAGUCAUGUGCUUCUUGUCAGCGUGAAUGCGUCAGCUGCAGGGGGGCGUUUCCACCGGGCGGCACAGAGACCAGCCGCGUGAGAACAAAACUCUUGAUUGGUGCUCCUCCAUUGACCGGGAGAGUUUUGAGCGAGAAGAGCACAGAGGUUGGACCCGGAGAGACAGACAGAUAAUGAAAGGGUCCAGGCUGAGCUAGGAGCUGACGGCCAUGCAGGAGUAGAGUCCACCAUCAGAGGGCAUCAUAUCAUCAAUUUCCAACACGCCGUCCACAACACUGACACGGCCUGAAGUCAAAUCCUAACACAAGGCAGCAAAUGUUGACGGCCCUCAUUUUGAAUAUUGCUUAUUGGUUGAAACAUGCAUAUUUGCAGAGCUCAGUUUGCUGAGCGUGUGAUUUCCUGCAUUCUUACCAGUGUUUGUCCAUUUG
This is a long non-coding RNA of Oryzias melastigma (Indian medaka), 473 nucleotides long. RefSeq lists it as uncharacterized. The record is from RefSeq and is a predicted model, not a curated record. The transcript has 3 exons. Lineage: Eukaryota; Metazoa; Chordata; Actinopteri; Beloniformes; Adrianichthyidae.